CGAAGAAGAACGUAGCGCCAACCGCAAAACAGGAGGAAGGAAAAAAAUAGAGAUUUUUAAAAAAUAUGAAAACGUUUCACAGAAAACAAACAAAGUGAAAUGUAGACCGUGCAAAGCGGAGGUUUCUUUCCACUACUGCAGUGCACGAGCAUUCAAAACACUGCACCGUGGAGCUGUGACGUCAGCUUGUUCUUUUGUUUGUUUGUAGUAUUAAGCAGUUUGUCCUGACAAGAUGCAUGCAUGCACCUCUCAAAUAGCUGAAGUCAUGACAGAGAGCAUCUUUAGCAUGGUUAUCUGCUGGGAACAUCAUCUCUAAGAGCAAACCUCACUCAAACAGUGCCAUUGACCUUGACGUAAUGGAUUGUUCGCAUGACCUCAUGCUACACCACUACAAAGUUUUAUCACAACUGAAAGCUUGUCUAGCUAUCGUGUUUAAAGACAGAGUGACAUCACACAGAAAAACUACAAGAGCAUAACCUCCUUGGCAGAAGUAAUAAAAAAGCCAAGAUGGCAUUAUUACAGCACAAAUGGCAACCUAUUGACAUCCGGCAUUUUUAGUGCAAUCAAGAGGAAUGGGAUGCCAGGUGAGACGCUAGUCAGCCUAAAUCCUGGGAGACAUCAGUCCUGGGAUUGGGAUGUUCAGCGCGGAUGUUUCAGAUGACUGCAAAAUGGUGUCACGAAAACAGAUGGAUGCUCUCAUCCUGCAGCACAAGCAGCUAUUUAAUAAAAAUGAAGCCUGGAGGAAAAGACUGUUCCCAAGAACGACUGGCCUGUUUUCCCAGCCUGCAGCUUGUGUGCAUUUUCCUUUGGCAUGUAAAGAAUUUUGCCUUUUUUGCUCUUCAUAAUGUAUUUUUGCUUUGUGGUUAUUUUUCCACACCCUGCUCAUAACAGUUUUGUUUUUUGCACAUUUUCGACUGCAGGAUGGAGAGUCAAUUAAUGAUGAACCUCGGGUUUCUGGUGACUACAUUCUGUUCUUUAGCAUGUGGUUAUUAAUUGGCAGGACUAUCUUGUAGUCAUUACAAUAAAAGCCAUGACUAAAUGUGAAAAUUGUCUUGCUUGAACAAAAA
Oreochromis aureus is the source of this 1067-nucleotide long non-coding RNA. RefSeq lists it as uncharacterized. The transcript has 5 exons. Lineage: Eukaryota; Metazoa; Chordata; Actinopteri; Cichliformes; Cichlidae. The record is from RefSeq and is a predicted model, not a curated record.